This is a non-coding RNA of Metarhizium robertsii ARSEF 23, 82 nucleotides long. The record is from Rfam. NCBI's taxonomy places the organism in Eukaryota, Fungi, Ascomycota, Sordariomycetes, Hypocreales, Clavicipitaceae.
GGUUGAGUAGUGUAGUGGUCAACAUGGUGGCUUCACAACAGUGAAUGCGCUACAGCCCCGGGUUCGAUUCCCGGCUCGACUA